This 216-nucleotide long non-coding RNA is filed under the name Malus domestica (apple). Its description in RNAcentral is "long non-coding RNA (MDOM_LNC007242)". The record is from RNAcentral. Lineage: Eukaryota; Viridiplantae; Streptophyta; Magnoliopsida; Rosales; Rosaceae.
AUUCAUACCCAAAUCUUCAUGAUAACUAAUUGAGAAAAGGAAAACAGAGGGAAAUUUUUUUUAACAUCAAUUUCCGACUGCAAACAUAAUUUUUUUUAAGUAUCAAUUUUUAAUAUAAAAACUAAUACCUCCUCGACUUCAUUCUCAGUGCAUUCGUAUUUUGAAUGUACAACAUAAUUUUUGCAACAGUUACAGAAUAUGCUUAUAAUCCAACAC